Molecule: ribosomal RNA, 253 nt
Filed under: uncultured bacterium
Lineage: Bacteria
Description: partial 16S ribosomal RNA
Rfam family: Bacterial small subunit ribosomal RNA
Source: RNAcentral
UACGUAGGGGGCAAGCGUUGUCCGGAUUUAUUGGGCGUAAAGAGCGUGUAGGCGGCCAGGUAGGUCCGUUGUGAAAACUCGAGGCUCAACCUCGAGACGUCGGCGGAAACCCUCUGGCUAGAGUCCGGAAGAGGAGAGUGGAAUUCCUGGUGUAGCGGUGAAAUGCGCAGAUAUCGUAAGGAAGACCAGUGGCGAAGGCGGGUCUCUGGACAGUUCCUGACGCUGAGGCACGAAGGCCAGGGGAGCAAACGGG